GACGAACGCUGGCGGCGUGCUUAACACAUGCAAGUCGAACGGAAAGGCCCUGCUUUUGUGGGGUGCUCGAGUGGCGAACGGGUGAGUAACACGUGAGUAACCUGCCCUUGACUUUGGGAUAACUUCAGGAAACUGGGGCUAAUACCGGAUAGGAGCUCCUGCUGCAUGGUGGGGGUUGGAAAGUUUCGGCGGUUGGGGAUGGGCUCGCGGCUUAUCAGCUUGUUGGUGGGGUAGUGGCUUACCAAGGGUUUGACGGGUAGCCGGCCUGAGAGGGUGACCGGCCACAUUGGGACUGAGGUACGGCCCAGACUCGUACGGGAGGCAGCAGGGGGGAAUAUUGCACAAUGGGCGGAAGCCUGAUGCGGCAACACCGCGUGCGGGAUGACGGCCUUCGGGUUAUAAACCGCUUUCGCCUGUGACGAAGCGUGAGUGACGGUAAUGGGUAAAGAAGCACCGGCUAACUACGUG
Molecule: ribosomal RNA, 468 nt
Filed under: uncultured bacterium
Lineage: Bacteria
Description: partial 16S ribosomal RNA
Rfam family: Bacterial small subunit ribosomal RNA
Source: RNAcentral